This 331-nucleotide ribosomal RNA is filed under the name uncultured bacterium. RNAcentral describes it as "partial 16S ribosomal RNA". It matches the Rfam family "Bacterial small subunit ribosomal RNA", at positions 338 to 686 of the family's 1533-position model. The record is from RNAcentral.
CCUACGGGAGGCAGCAGUAGGGAAUAUUGCUCAAUGGGGGAAACCCUGAAGCAGCAACGCCGCGUGGAGGAUGAAGGUUUUCGGAUUGUAAACUCCUUUUUUUAGAGAAUAUAAUGACGGUAUCUGACGAAUAAACACCGUCUAACUCCGUACCAGCAGCCGCGGUAUUCCGGAGGGUGCAAGCGUUAAUCGGAAUCAAUGGGCGUAAAGACCGCGUAGGCUGGAUAGCAAGUAAGAUGUGAACUCCUAUGGCUUAACCAUAGAACUGCAUUUGAAACUGUUAUCUUAGAGUAUGGGAGGGGUAGGUUGAAUUCUUGGUGUAGGGGUAAAA